GACGGAGGGUGCUAGCGUUGUUCGGAAUCACUGGGCGUAAAGGGCGCGUAGGCGGCCUUGCAAGUCGGUUGGUGAAAGCCCGGGGCUCAACCCCGGAGGUGCGGCCGAGACUGCAGGGCUGGAGGCCGGAAGAGGAGGGUGGAAUACCCAGUGUAGAGGUGAAAUUCGUAGAUAUUGGGUGGAACACCGGUGGCGAAAGCGGCUCUCUGGUCCGGACCUGACGCUGAGGCGCGAAAGCAUGGGGAGCAAACAGG
RNAcentral lists this ribosomal RNA (254 nucleotides) under uncultured bacterium. Its description in RNAcentral is "partial 16S ribosomal RNA". It matches the Rfam family "Bacterial small subunit ribosomal RNA", at positions 524 to 776 of the family's 1533-position model. The record is from RNAcentral.